ACGCACGCUGGCGGCGUGCUUCACCCCUGCAAGUCGCACGGAAAGGCCCUGCUUUUGUGGGGUGCUCGAGUGGCGAACGGGUGAGUAACACGUGAGUAACCUGCCCUUGACUUUGGGAUAACUUCAGGAAACUGGGGCUAAUACCGGAUAGGAGCUCCUGCUGCAUGGUGGGGGUUGGAAAGUUUCGGCGGUUGGGGAUGGACUCGCGGCUUAUCAGCUUGUUGGUGGGGUAGUGGCUUACCAAGGCUUUGACGGGUAGCCGGCCUGAGAGGGUGACCGGCCACAUUGGGACUGAGAUACGGCCCAGACUCCUACGGGAGGCAGCAGUGGGGAAUAUUGCACAAUGGGCGGAAGCCUGAUGCAGCAACGCCGCGUGCGGGAUGACGGCCUUCGGGUUGUAAACCGCUUUCGCCUGUGACGAAGCGUGAGUGGCGGUAAUGGGUAAAGAAGCACCGGCUAACUACGUG
Molecule: ribosomal RNA, 467 nt
Filed under: uncultured bacterium
Lineage: Bacteria
Description: partial 16S ribosomal RNA
Rfam family: Bacterial small subunit ribosomal RNA
Source: RNAcentral